Molecule: ribosomal RNA, 425 nt
Filed under: bacterium
Lineage: Bacteria
Description: partial 16S ribosomal RNA
Rfam family: Bacterial small subunit ribosomal RNA
Source: RNAcentral
UGGGGAAUCUUCCGCAAUGGACGAAAGUCUGACGGAGCAACGCCGCGUGAGUGAUGACGGCCUUCGGGUUGUAAAGCUCUGUUAAUCGGGACGAAUGGUUCUUGUGCGAAUAGUGCAAGGAUUUGACGGUACCGGAAUAGAAAGCCACGGCUAACUACGUGCCAGCAGCCGCGGUAAUACGUAGGUGGCAAGCGUUGUCCGGAAUUAUUGGGCGUAAAGCGCGCGCAGGCGGAUUGGUCAGUCUGUCUUAAAAGUUCGGGGCUUAACCCCGUGAUGGGAUGGAAACUGCCAAUCUAGAGUAUCGGAGAGGAAAGUGGAAUUCCUAGUGUAGCGGUGAAAUGCGUAGAUAUUAGGAAGAACACCAGUGGCGAAGGCGACUUUCUGGACGAAAACUGACGCUGAGGCGCGAAAGCCAGGGGAGCGAA